UUUUUUGUUAAUUUGAUUAUUUAUUUACAAAAUGGGUAUUUGUUUAAAAAGUGCUGCUAUCCAACUGUUGUAAUCGUCCAAUCAAGAUCAUUAAAAUAAGCAUUUUGUUUAAUCCUGCAUUGAUUCGAAAAAUAAUGUUUUGAUUCAAGUUACCUCCCCUUUUCAGGUCAGGCAGCACUAUUUAGUACUGGUCACAUUCAAGGCAGGGAUACAGUGACAAGUAGAUAAUUACUACUUUACUUUAUCAGUAUUUUGUUCUA
Molecule: long non-coding RNA, 260 nt
Filed under: Mytilus galloprovincialis (Mediterranean mussel)
Lineage: Eukaryota; Metazoa; Mollusca; Bivalvia; Mytilida; Mytilidae
Source: RNAcentral